CCUACGGGAGGCAGCAGUGGGGAAUUUUGGACAAUGGGCGCAAGCCUGAUCCAGCAAUGCCGCGUGCAGGAUGAAGGCCUUCGGGUUGUAAACUGCUUUUGUACGGAACGAAACGGUCUGCUCUAAUACAGUGGGCUAAUGACGGUACCGUAAGAAUAAGCACCGGCUAACUACGUGCCAGCAGCCGCGGUAAUACGUAGGGUGCGAGCGUUAAUCGGAAUUACUGGGCGUAAAGCGUGCGCAGGCGGUUAUAUAAGACAGAUGUGAAAUCCCCGGGCUCAACCUGGGACCUGCAUUUGUGACUGUAUAGCUAGAGUGCGGCAGAGGGGGAUGGAAUUCCGCGUGUAGCAGUGAAAUGCGUAGAUAUGCGGAGGAACACCGAUGGCGAAGGCAAUCCCCUGGGCCUGCACUGACGCUCAUGCACGAAAGCGUGGGGAGCAAACAGGAUUAGAUACCCUGGUAGUCCACGCCCUAAACGAUGUCAACUGGUUGUUGGGUCUUCACUGACUCAGUAACGAAGCUAACGCGUGAAGUUGACCGCCUGGGGAGUACGGCCGCAAGGUUGAAACGUCAAAUAAUUGACGG
Molecule: ribosomal RNA, 585 nt
Filed under: uncultured bacterium
Lineage: Bacteria
Description: bacterial SSU rRNA
Rfam family: Bacterial small subunit ribosomal RNA
Source: RNAcentral